RNAcentral lists this ribosomal RNA (652 nucleotides) under Leuconostoc sp. B 242. RNAcentral's name for it is "bacterial SSU rRNA". It matches the Rfam family "Bacterial small subunit ribosomal RNA", at positions 65 to 700 of the family's 1533-position model. The record is from RNAcentral. Lineage: Bacteria; Bacillati; Bacillota; Bacilli; Lactobacillales; Lactobacillaceae.
GNNNACANGCGNAGGUGCUUGCACCUUUCAGUGAGUGGCGAACGGGUGAGUAACACGUGGACAACCUGCCUCAAGGCUGGGGAUAACAUUUGGAAACAGAUGCUAAUACCGAAUAAAACUUAGUGUCGCAUGACACAAAGUUAAAAGGCGCUUCGGCGUCACCUAGAGAUGGAUCCGCGGUGCAUUAGUUAGUUGGUGGGGUAAAGGCCUACCAAGACAAUGAUGCAUAGCCGAGUUGAGAGACUGAUCGGCCACAUUGGGACUGAGACACGGCCCAAACUCCUACGGGAGGCUGCAGUAGGGAAUCUUCCACAAUGGGCGAAAGCCUGAUGGAGCAACGCCGCGUGUGUGAUGAAGGCUUUCGGGUCGUAAAGCACUGUUGUAUGGGAAGAACAGCUAGAAUAGGAAAUGAUUUUAGUUUGACGGUACCAUACCAGAAAGGGACGGCUAAAUACGUGCCAGCAGCCGCGGUAAUACGUAUGUCCCGAGCGUUAUCCGGAUUUAUUGGGCGUAAAGCGAGCGCAGACGGUUUAUUAAGUCUGAUGUGAAAGCCCGGAGCUCAACUCCGGAAUGGCAUUGGAAACUGGUUAACUUGAGUGCAGUAGAGGUAAGUGGAACUCCAUGUGUAGCGGUGAAAUGGCGUAAAAUCAAA